This 424-nucleotide ribosomal RNA is filed under the name Verrucomicrobiota bacterium. RNAcentral's name for it is "Verrucomicrobia bacterium partial 16S ribosomal RNA". It matches the Rfam family "Bacterial small subunit ribosomal RNA", at positions 355 to 776 of the family's 1533-position model. The record is from RNAcentral. Lineage: Bacteria; Pseudomonadati; Verrucomicrobiota.
UGAGGAAUAUUGGUCAAUGGGCGAGAGCCUGAACCAGCCAAGUAGCGUGCAGGAUGACGGCCCUAUGGGUUGUAAACUGCUUUUAUGUGGGGAUAAAGUGCGUGACGUGUCAUGCAUUGCAGGUACCACAUGAAUAAGGACCGGCUAAUUCCGUGCCAGCAGCCGCGGUAAUACGGAAGGUCCGGGCGUUAUCCGGAUUUAUUGGGUUUAAAGGGAGCGUAGGCUGUCUAUUAAGCGUGUUGUGAAAUUUACCGGCUCAACCGGUGGCUUGCAGCGCGAACUGGUCGACUUGAGUAUGCAGGAAGUAGGCGGAAUUCAUGGUGUAGCGGUGAAAUGCUUAGAUAUCAUGAAGAACUCCGAUUGCGAAGGCAGCUUACGGGAGCGCAACUGACGCUGAGGCUCGAAGGUGCGGGUAUCGAACAGG